UCAUUUUCAGAUUCUGCUUCUUUUUUUUUUAGUAACCCAGUUAAUUUAGCUGAUGGUUUGUGAGCAUGAAGUGAACAUUAUGAAUGGUCGUGGAUAGUUACAAAGGACGGUUUAUUCUUCAAGCUCUUGGUCCAGAGCCAAAGAGACAAGUGCAGUGUGAGAGAGAGUGCGCUCUACAGCUGCGCUCCUGUGCGUGAGUACGUGAGUGUGUGACGCAGCAGUUGUAGUGGGGGCGGAAGGACAUCAUAAGAAACUGCUGCGGGGAAUCGAAAGUGUUUCAGAUGUGACUUUGUUCCUCGUGGUCGCCAGGGACACUGUGCACCGCGAUGUCAGACAUGCAGCUGAUCCCGCUGCUCUGCCUCCUGUGUCUGUGGGCUGGAUGCACCUCUGCACAGGAAAUCAGAGUAGUGAAUGUGCCAGAAGGUGACAAUGCCCUCCUCGAUUGUGCUCAGGCCUCCGGACAGAGCAUUGAUGAGUUUGACUGGAGGAAAGACAAUGGAGACGAGGAGAAGAAGGAGGUGUUUAUGUAUAAAAGUGGCUCUUACUACGGUAAUGGCCUUCAGGGCCAAGAUGAUCAAUUCAAAGGCCGUGUUGAGUUUUUUCAACAUAAACUUGAAUCAGGAAAUGCCUCCAUAUUAAUCAAAAACACACGUCUGGAAGACACUGGCACUUAUAUCUGUGGUUUAGGCCUAGAUAUAAACAACAGACGGAGGUUCGAAUUAGACUUAAUGUUGGGGCAGCUCCUGUGCCUUACAUAAAGACAAUUCGUGAUAAAAUUACCUGGAGGUUGCUGGAGUGUAAAGCUCAAGGUGUCCCUGAACCAGAAGUGGAGUGGAGAAACAGUGCUGGAAAAGUACUUGCUAAACACAAUCCAACAAGUGAAGAUGGACAUGCCCAUCCUGAACUUAGAUUAAAUGUGACCAAGAGUGACAACUACACCUGUGUGGCUACUCAGAUGUCCAUUUACCAUCAAAACAAGUACACCACAGAUGUGAACAUUCCCG
This 1004-nucleotide long non-coding RNA is filed under the name Neogobius melanostomus (round goby). RNAcentral's name for it is "lncRNA (ENSNMLG00000004673.1)". The record is from RNAcentral. Lineage: Eukaryota; Metazoa; Chordata; Actinopteri; Gobiiformes; Gobiidae.